RNAcentral lists this ribosomal RNA (485 nucleotides) under uncultured Nostocoides sp. RNAcentral's name for it is "bacterial SSU rRNA". It matches the Rfam family "Bacterial small subunit ribosomal RNA", at positions 8 to 507 of the family's 1533-position model. Lineage: Bacteria; Bacillati; Actinomycetota; Actinomycetes; Micrococcales; Intrasporangiaceae. The record is from RNAcentral.
AGAGUUUGAUCCUGGCUCAGGACACGCUGCGGCGUGCUUAACACAUGCAAGUCGAACGGUGACGGAGGAGCUUGCUCCUCCUGAUCAGUGGCGAACGGGUGAGUAACACGUGAGUAACCUGCCCCAGACUCUGGAAUAACAGUUGGAAACAGCUGCUAAUACCGGAUACGAGACGGAGUCGCAUGACUACUGUCUGGAAAGUUUUUCGGUCUGGGAUGGACUCGCGGCCUAUCAGCUUGUUGGUGAGGUAACGGCUCACCAAGGCGACGACGGGUAGCCGGCCUGAGAGGGCGACCGGCCACACUGGGACUGAGACACGGCCCAGACUCCUACGGGAGGCAGCAGUGGGGAAUAUUGCACAAUGGGCGAAAGCCUGAUGCAGCAACGCCGCGUGAGGGAUGACGGCCUUCGGGUUGUAAACCUCUUUCAGUAGGGAAGAAGCGAAAGUGACGGUACCUACAGAAGAAGCACCGGCUAACUACGUG